RNAcentral lists this unclassified non-coding RNA (288 nucleotides) under fungal sp. GS34. RNAcentral describes it as "partial contains 5.8S ribosomal RNA, internal transcribed spacer 2, and large subunit ribosomal RNA". The stretch from base 1 to 71 matches the Rfam family "5.8S ribosomal RNA", at positions 84 to 154 of the family's 154-position model. The record is from RNAcentral. Lineage: Eukaryota; Fungi.
GUGAAUCAUCGAAUCUUUGAACGCACAUUGCACCUCUUGGUAUUCCAGGAGGUAUGCCUGUUCGAGCGUCAUAGUGAACCAUCAAGCUUGGCUUGGUAUUGGAUGUCACCUUGUUUGGUGCAUCUCAAAAUUAGUGGCGGUGCCACCAUGGGCUUCGAGCGUAGUAAAUCUCUCGCUCUGGAGGACCAGGUGUUUGUGUCGGCCAGAAACCCCCAAAUUAAUCAAAAGGUUUGACCUCGGAUCAGGUAGGGAUACCCGCUGAACUUAAGCAUAUCAAUAAGCGGAGGA